This 408-nucleotide ribosomal RNA is filed under the name uncultured bacterium. RNAcentral describes it as "partial 16S ribosomal RNA". It matches the Rfam family "Bacterial small subunit ribosomal RNA", at positions 28 to 526 of the family's 1533-position model. The record is from RNAcentral.
GACGAACGCUGGCGGCGUGCUUAACACAUGCAAGUCGAACGAAGUGGCGAACGGGUGAGUAACGCGUAAUCAACCUGCCCUUCAGAGGGGGACAACAGUUGGAAACGACUGCUAAUACCGCAUACUGAAGGAGGGGAUUGCGUCUGAUUAGCUAGUUGGAGGGGUAACGGCCCACCAAGGCGAUGAUCAGUAGCCGGUCUGAGAGACUGAACGGACACAUUGGGACUGGGACACGGCCCAGACUCCUACGGGAGGCAGCAGGGGGGAAUCUUCCGAAAUGGACGAAAGUCUGACGGAGCAACGCCGCGGGAGUGAUGACGGCCGUCGGGUUGUAAAGCUCUGUUAAUCGGGACGCGGUACCGGAAGAGAAAGCCACGGCUAACUACGUGCCAGCAGCCGCGGUAAUAC